GCCUGAUCCAGCGUUGCCGCGUGAGUGAAGAAGGCCUUCGGGUUGUAAAGCUCUUUUGUCAGGGAAGAAANGGUGUAGGUUAAUAUCUUUNGCUANUGACGGUACCGGAAGAAUAAGCACCGGCUAACUNCGUGCCAGCAGCCGCGGUAAUACGUAGGGUGCAAGCGUUAAUCGGAAUUACUGGGCGUAAAGCGCGCGCAGGCGGUUUUUUAAGUUUGAUGUGAAAUCCCCGGGCUCAACCUGGGAACUGCAUUGGAGACUGGCAGGCUAGAGUCUGGUAGAGGGGGGUGGAAUUCCANGUGUAGCAGUGAAAUGCGUAGAGAUGNGGAGGAACACCGAUGGCGAAGGCAGCCCCCUGGAUCAAGACUGACGCUCAGGUGCGAAAGCGUGGGGAGCAAACAGGAU
Molecule: ribosomal RNA, 405 nt
Filed under: beta proteobacterium SCGC AAA027-G17
Lineage: Bacteria; Pseudomonadati; Pseudomonadota; Betaproteobacteria
Description: bacterial SSU rRNA
Rfam family: Bacterial small subunit ribosomal RNA
Source: RNAcentral